AUACAACUUUCAGCAACGGAUCUCUUGGCUCUCGCAUCGAUGAAGAACGCAGCGAAAUGCGAUAAGUAAUGUGAAUUGCAGAAUUCAGUGAAUCAUCGAAUCUUUGAACGCNCCUUGCGCUCCUUGGUAUUCCGAGGAGCAUGCCUGUUUGAGUGUC
RNAcentral lists this ribosomal RNA (157 nucleotides) under Laccaria sp. FP-98551. RNAcentral's name for it is "5.8S ribosomal RNA". It matches the Rfam family "5.8S ribosomal RNA". From Rfam's summary of the family: 5.8S ribosomal RNA (5.8S rRNA) is a component of the large subunit of the eukaryotic ribosome. It is transcribed by RNA polymerase I as part of the 45S precursor that also contains 18S and 28S rRNA. Lineage: Eukaryota; Fungi; Basidiomycota; Agaricomycetes; Agaricales; Hydnangiaceae. The record is from RNAcentral.